Molecule: long non-coding RNA, 4164 nt
Organism: Lepisosteus oculatus (spotted gar)
Lineage: Eukaryota; Metazoa; Chordata; Actinopteri; Semionotiformes; Lepisosteidae
Source: Ensembl
AGAAACAGCGAUGGUAUCGAAGAAGUAUGCGCAUACGCGUACAAAAAAAAUUGAGAUAAAGCUACGAAAGAGGAAUGCUGAUCACUUAAAAGCCAUUCCUAUACGAAUGGUUGUGUAUCUGCGUGUACGCGUAUGAAGGGUAGGUUACGUGUCUGUAUGAAUUACUUAGCCACUUCACAAUUUUCCAAACAGCGUUGCUAUUUAGUUGCAUGUCUUCAAAAGGAGUGGGCGAAUAACUCGUCUUUAAAUAAAUAAACAGUAUACUCACUUAUUCUGGUGACUAUCCAUGUGCAAUCUGUUCCCAAACAGACAUAAUUUGAAAAGCAGGCUAGUAGCCUAUUUAAUUUUGCUGGUUGCUGAAGCCAUCAGAUGAAAAUCCAAGUGACUUGCAGCCCCCUUCGCGCUGUACUUGAAUAUCGUUUUCGAUGUCACGGAAGGGAAGGCAAAUAUUAGCAGAAGUGGACAGAAUUGCCUUUGAUAGACUGGCUCACAGGGUUAUUUUGCCCAAGUGCAUAUACAAAAUCCAUUUGAGAGCGGUCUGAAUCGAUGAGAUACGCGCUUGAUUGGGUGUCCCUUGUUGUAAUAAUGUACAUCAGAAGGAGGGGAUGGACCCUAACUGUGUUUCAACUGCUUUAUGAACAUGGAUCAGCAGCUUUGCCAAACACUUUCUUGGCUGCUAAUAGCACUUUUUUUCCCUUUCUUUGUGUGGCCGAUAGUAGGUAUUUAAAGACAGGAACAGCAAAUCAGAGGCGACUUCCUUGCUCCAGAUGCCGUCUUCGCUUAAAAAGAGUCAGGCAGAAAUUCAGUAACAAACAAUUUCCUUGUUUUUCUGAGCACAGAAGGGAAAAAGACCGCUCUCACUUUUUACGAUCGUCUUUAGGAUAAAAACGCAACGGUCCAUUCCCUGGGGGGAAGGCUACUGUCUGUGAGGGAAAAAAAAAAUGACGAAUAAUUUCUUGCAAACAAGAAAAUGGUGAGUUGUCAAAUUCUGCUUCUCCUGCCAAAUGUGUUCAAUUCCAUGCCGUUGACAUUUCGCUGGUCUCUUCUCACACUAUAACAGUCACAGUUAUCUGAUCACAGAAGGAACGAUCAAACCAAGGUAGGAAAGAGAGCCUUUGGAAACGAGCAGAAUAUCCGAUCCCUGUGCUACUGCCGGCCAGGCUUGUGUUGGGAAGAGAAAGAACUGACUUUCACUGAUUCGGGAUGUUUUUAGCCCAAUCUCUCUCCGUGUGCCGCUAUAGCAUUGCAUGCCGUUAGAUCCGCCCAAACAUCUGUCCGUCUAACCAUUGGCGCAUCCAUCAGUGUCACAGUGGCUGCACAUCGCAACGACAAUGCCUCAGACAUAACAGAGGCUGCGAGGCUCAAUACGAAUAGCUACAACACUGUAACUUCGCCGAAAACACGGUAGACAUAACAGUGACUGGGUCUUUGAUCUUAAAAUACACGGCGUUUUCAUUUUCGAUCGCUGUAAACUAACUGCGUCAGACAUAGGGGAGAUCUGUGCAAUCACUGGUCUUUUUUUGCGUCGUUUAAAAAGACGGAAAUGUAGCGCUAGGUAAAUGCGAUCUGCUGUAUGAAACUAUUGAAGAAAAUAUUUUGAAAAGACUUUUGAGAAAACUACUACUAACAAGUUUCUGCGGACAAAGCAAAACUGUCGGAAUGCUAGUUUGUUUUAAUGUUUUGUAAAUAAUUAUCGGUCUGAAGAAGAAACUUAAAAUAUCAGUUGUGUUACAGUGUGUCGUAAUGGAGUCCAUAAGGAGAAAAGUUACAUGAAACGAGAUGAACGCUACAAUAUUACUUUCUGCGAAGGCGUUGGAUGUUAAUUAUAACAUGAACAGCGAAUCAGUUGCUCCUUUAGUUUUCAGGUUUUGUUGGGUUACGUUGCGCUCUAGAACAGCAUCAGACCCGAUGUAGACCAUUCCCUUAUUGUCUAAUAUCUAGGGCAGCCACACAGCCUGAAUCCUAUAGUUAAAAAAGAAACACGAAAACAAAAGGAAUUAUAUCGUUCUUAAAAUGCAUCCUAAAUACGCGAGCAACAGUUUGUUUCACUUGCCCUGUAAACGUCUUAAAGACAAUCGCACCGUGAAAAACGAUAUGCACGAGAGUGUGGUCAAUUAAGCCGUUAAAAACGAUUUUUUUCCAACUGUACAUGGAUUCAAAAAGUACACUUCCGUAGGUCAAUUUGUUACGAUUUAAAAGUCGAGAUCUUUUGAACUUAGCCUAGGUAAAAACAGUACUGUACACAUAACAAAUGUCUAUUAGGAUCCUGAUUUUUUACUAAAUCUGAUGGCAUACGUACGUUGUUAUGAUCUUUAUAAUGAGUAUUAUAAUAGAUUUUUUUUUUAAUCAGAAGGGAAUAGAAGAUGUCCUAAGUUGUUCAGUCCGACUUUUUACCAGUCCAUUACAAAUCUAUUUACUACACCCUACACAGGUAGGAAAUAUCAGGAAAUAUUUUAGAAAUAUUUAAUACUUUUUGCUAACUUGUUUAGUUAUAUAAAUCACAUUUUUAUGUUAGGCAUGUUUCACCAUGCUUAAAAUGACUUGACUAUAUUUUUAUUUUCAACAAUAAACACAAAGAGUAGUAUUUGUCGGGGUGAUAAUUUUGGACAGAAUCCAAUUAAGAAAUGUGACCCUUAGAAACGUUAAGGAGAGUGAAAGAUUUUUUUUUUCAUUUUGAGCGGCGAUACCAGCGAUUUUAAGAUAAUUACUGAGAAGGAGUGGCUAGAACUACAAACUGUUAUGUGUUUUCUGGUAUCGAUAAACACAUUUUUAAGGUUGUAUUGCAAAGCAUUGAGUGUGAAAAUAAAAUGAACAAUCACAUGCUUUUACAAUUUUGCUUAUUCUAUAAACUUUAUUUUUAAGCGUAAAACUUUGCAAUCGCUAAGUGGAAUUUGUUUUCACCAGACAGAUGUGUAUACGUUUGUGUGAAAAGGCCAAGAACUACAGUGUGCUACAAAGUGUAGAACACUGUCAUAAAAUACAAAGGACUACACUUAAUUGAUAGUUGUGAGUGAUUUAAAUUGAUAUUAAAGAUGAUAAUUUAAUGUUUUGUUUUCAUUUAAAUCACCUCGAUAGCACUUUGUGUAAGAGCGUGUUCUUUCACAGCGGGGCCUGUAUCAGGUGAGUAAGAAGGGGGCCGUGCAUAGUACACGUACACAUCUCGUCUCAUAGUACACUUGGCAUUAUCGAACCCGUGUAAGUGUAAAACAUGAACAAAUAAAUAAAACAGAGUAAAAUGGCAAAUGCCAUUCUGUUCCCUGUUUUAGUAUUUGUCAGCCAGCAUGUUAACCGAAGGCUAGUUACAGUAUGUGGCAGUGCUCGAUAUCAGAUGUUUUCUGGUGGGUUUGUCGCUUAAUGAUAAGUUUGAAUGUCGAGUUGCCAAAAUGAACGAAUCAGCAUAUUCAACUCACCAGAAAGGAAAAGCUAUAGUUAACGACACUGAACAUAACACACAACUUUGAUUUGAAGCAUUUAUACCAGUCUUCUCAUUAACUUUGCUUUUUCUCUUUCAUGGUGUCAAAUCUGAAAUAUGUAAUUUUCAUUACUUUUAAUUUUCAGUCUCACGUGAUCUCCUAAGGCAGAGAGAUAGCCUACUUAAUGACAACGUGAUGAAAAAGUGGUUAAUUGUUUAAAACCAGCUGUAUUCUGUAAAGUUGUGUUACAGGGUGUAUUAAGAAACUCGUGCCGGAAGACAACUUGCUUAAUGUAUGUAUUUAGGCGAUAUAUUUUAACUAUGAUCUGUAUAAUAAAGAACGAUUCAAUAAACUGAACUUUUGAAAACAUCUUCCCUCUAAGAAACAGUAUUGUAUUUGCAACGAAUGUCAAUACACAAGAAUGGUAUUUAAAUCGGUUAAAUUAAGGUUCUGUGUUAACAGGUUUGUGUGUGUUUAUGUAUGUUCAUUUUUGAUCUCACAGGAAAGCUAAGUCCUGUAAAAUGUUAAUCUAUAUUCUACAGCAAACAUGGUCAUGAAUAUUAUUCUGGAACUGUCCAUUUGUGUAACUUAGCACCUAUAUUUUUUAAUAGAAGCCUUAAAACUUUGUUGUUAAUUAUUUUCAUUAUGAAUACGUUUGAUUAUCGUGAUUGCUAAAUAUACUGCAUGUUGCUAAGUGAAAGCGAAAUUUUAAAUGCAAAAGUAAAAUUGAGAAGAGCUGUCUAAACCGUUU